CGAGUAGAGUGGCGCACGGGUGAGUAACACGUGGGUAAUCUACCUCUGGGUGGGGAAUAUCAGCUGGAAACGGCUGUUAAUACCGCAUAAUGCAGCGGCAUCUAUGAUGACAGUUGUUAAAGCGGGGGACCGUAGCAAUACGGCCUUGCGCCUGGAGAGGAGCCCGCGGCGGAUUAGCUAGUUGGUGAGGUAAUGGCUCACCAAGGCGUCGAUCCGUAGCCGGCCUGAGAGGGCGGUCGGCCACACUGACACUGACACACGGGUCAGACUCCUACGGGAGGCAGCAGUCGGGAAUUUUGGGCAAUGGGCGCAAGCCUGACCCAGCAACGCCGCGUGAAGGAUGAAAUCUUUCGGGAUGUAAACUUCAUAAGAUCGGGAAGAAUAAGGCGGGGUAAAUAACCUUCGCCGAUGACGGUACUGAUUGUAAGCUCCGGCUAACUCCGUGCCAGCAGCCGCGGUAAUACGGGGGGAGCAAGCGUUGUUCGGAUUUACUGGGCGUAAAGGGCGCGUAGGCGGCGCGACAAGUCACUUGUGAAAUCUCCGGGCUUAACUCGGCAGAGGCCAAGUGAUACUGUCGUGCUCGAGUGCGGAAGGGGCAACCGGAAUUCUUGGUGUAGCGGUGAAAUGCGUAGAUAUCAAGAGGAACACCUGCGGCGAAGGCGGGUUGCUGGGCCGACACUGACGCUGAGGCGCGAAAGCUAGGGGAGCGAACGGGAUUAGAUACCCCGGUAGUCCUAGCCUUAAACGAUG
RNAcentral lists this ribosomal RNA (750 nucleotides) under uncultured Acidobacteriota bacterium. RNAcentral's name for it is "bacterial SSU rRNA". It matches the Rfam family "Bacterial small subunit ribosomal RNA", at positions 87 to 811 of the family's 1533-position model. The record is from RNAcentral. Lineage: Bacteria; Pseudomonadati; Acidobacteriota.